GAGUAACUCCCCUUGGGGAGGGGGAUAACCAUCUGAAAAGGUGGCUAAUACCCCAUAUUCUCCUUUUUUGCCAAAGAAAGGAGGAAAGAUGGCGUAAGCUAUCACCCCGAGAGAGGCUCGCGUCCCAUCAGCUAGUUGGUAGGGUAAUGGCCUACCAAGGCUAUGACGGGUAGCUGGUCUGAGAGGAUGGUCAGCCACACUGGGACUGAGACACGGCCCAGACUCCUACGGGAGGCAGCAGUGAGGAAUCUUGGGCAAUGGGCGAAAGCCUGACCCAGCGACGCCGCGUGGAGGAAGAAGGCCUUCGGGUCGUAAACUCCUGUUCGGGGAGAAGAACAGGAGAGGAGUGAAUAACUUCUCUCCCUGACGGUAUCCCCGGAGAAAGCUCCGGCUAAUUACGUGCCAGCAGCCGCGGUAAUACGUAAGGAGCGAGCGUUGUCCGGAUUUACUGGGCGUAAAGAGCUCGUAGGUGGUUUCUUAGGUCUCACGUGAAAUUCCCUGGCUCAACUGGGGAGGGUCGUGGGAAACCGAGAAGCUAGAGGGCAGGAGAGGAGAGUGGAAUUCCCGGUGUAGCGGUGAAAUGCGUAGAGAUCGGGAGGAACACCAGUGGUGAAGACGGCUCUCUGGACUGUCCCUGACACUGAGGAGCGA
RNAcentral lists this ribosomal RNA (651 nucleotides) under uncultured bacterium. Its description in RNAcentral is "bacterial SSU rRNA". It matches the Rfam family "Bacterial small subunit ribosomal RNA", at positions 119 to 756 of the family's 1533-position model. The record is from RNAcentral.